UUCGUCGUCGAGUCAAAGUGCGCGGAUCGCUCGAGGAGCGAACUCAUACUCCUGCCAAAUUAAAUUAAAUAUUUGUUAAGUGCAAGUUUAGGUGUUAGUUGUUGUUGCCGUAAAGCCAAGUUCGUAAGCAGGUGCAAAGGUGCAAAAGUGAGCUAAUAACAAAACAAGUUCGCCAGUUUCAGUUGGAAAGCAAAGCGAUAAAGAUGGGAAAGUUCGAAUACUCACUGGGUCUCAAUGAGCUCAAAUCAAAGGAGCUGCGUUUGUGGCAGGCUCUGAUCGGUGAGUUCCUGGGCAAUCUGAUCCUCAAUUUCUUUGCCUGCGGUGCGUGCACUCAAAUUGAGGAUGGUACAUUCAAGGCCCUGGCUUUUGGCCUGGCCAUCUUCAUGGCCAUUACGAUUGUGGGCCACUUGAGUGGUGGACAUGUGAACCCUGCUGUUACCGCUGGAAUGCUGAUUGCAGGACGAAUCAGCUUAAUCCGGGCAAUUUUCUAUGUGGUUUUCCAGUGCCUGGGUGCCAUCGCUGGAACUGCAGCUGUCAAGAUCCUUCUUGAUCCUGACUAUCACAAUGGUUUGGGUCACACCACCUUGGCGCAGAAUAUCACGGAGCUGCAGGGCCUGGGAAUCGAGUUCUUCCUGGGACUCCUGCUGGUCCUCGUCGUGUUUGGGGCCUGUGAUCCCCACAAGCCGGACUCCCGCUACACGGCGCCCCUGGCCAUUGGAAUGGCGGUGACCUUGGGUCAUUUGGGCACCAUUCGGUACACUGGGGCCAGCAUGAACCCGGCCCGCACAGUGGGCACUGCCUUUGCCACGGACAUCUGGACUGCGCAUUGGGUGUACUGGGUGGGACCUGUGCUGGGGGGCGUGGCAGCCGCCCUGCUGUACACUCAGGUCCUGGAGGCGAAGCCGGCACCGAAGGUGAACGAGGCAUCCGAAAAGUACCGAACGCACGCCGAUGAACGCGAGGAGCAGAUAUUUGUUUACUAAAGCUCUUACCACCUGCACGCAAAACUAAUCUAAGCCACUGUUGUGAACCGAACCAUUGGUUUAGAAAUUCAGUGAUCCUUUCAACCGAACCCGCCCACAAUUUCGAUCGAUGCGCAAACUGGAGGGUGCUCGCGAUUAUGCUUAGGAUUAGGGAAACUAAAGCGACUCGAAUCUAGAGAUAGAUACAGAGAGAGAAAAAGCCGAGGAGAACAGAUGUCUUCGUUUAAUCCAUUCAUUUCAAUGUCUAUCAUACUUAUGUCGUGCACUUCUUCGUUCGUGUGUAUUUAUGUAUUUAUUCAUGAAAAGUUCAUUUUUAAUAUAACUAAUAUCUAAAUAUGUAAGCUGCCCUAAAAUCCAAUCUACAAAGCAAAAUUACUUGUAUUCUCAUGCGUUCACAAUAAAGUGGAAAACAUUUACUAAAAA
This is an RNA transcript of Drosophila rhopaloa, 1406 nucleotides long. It is a transcript of the gene named aquaporin, with no coding region annotated. NCBI's taxonomy places the organism in Eukaryota, Metazoa, Arthropoda, Insecta, Diptera, Drosophilidae. The record is from RefSeq and is a predicted model, not a curated record. The transcript is spliced from 7 exons.